This 601-nucleotide ribosomal RNA is filed under the name Diatrichalus sp. BM0159. Its description in RNAcentral is "partial 16S ribosomal RNA". It matches the Rfam family "Bacterial large subunit ribosomal RNA", at positions 1816 to 2713 of the family's 2925-position model. The record is from RNAcentral. Lineage: Eukaryota; Metazoa; Arthropoda; Insecta; Coleoptera; Lycidae.
CAUGUCCUUUAGAAAAUAGUUAAAGGUCUGAUCUGCUCAAUGAUAAUUAAAUAGCCGCAGUAUUUUGACUGUGCAAAGGUAGCAUAAUAAUUAGUUUCUUGAUUAGAAGCUAGAAUGAACGAUUGGACAAGAAAAUUUCUGUCUCUUUAUUAAUUUUUUUGAAUUUUAUUUUUAAGUGAAAAAGCUUAAAUUUUUAUAAAAGACGAGAAGACCCUAUAGAGUUUUAUAUACUUUAAUAAUUAAUAUAUAGAAUAUUUGUUUAUUAUGGUUUAUUUGGUUGGGGUGACUUAAAGAUUUAUUUAAUUCUUUAAUACUAAAAUUAGUGAUUUCUAAAUUUUUAAUCUAUAUAUUAUAAAAAUAAAAUAAAUUACCUUAGGGAUAACAGCGUAAUUUUUCUUAAGAGUUCUUAUUUAAAGAAAAGUUUGCGACCUCGAUGUUGGAUUAAAAUUUAUUUUUGGUGUAGCUGCUGAAAAAUUAGGUCUGUUCGACCUUUAAAAUUUUACAUGAUCUGAGUUUAAACCGGUGUGAGCCAGGUUGGAUUCUAUCUUUAGAUAGUUAAAGUAUUUUAGUACGAAAGGACCAGGUACUUAUUAAAUUAAUU